Molecule: long non-coding RNA, 1344 nt
Organism: Triticum aestivum (bread wheat)
Lineage: Eukaryota; Viridiplantae; Streptophyta; Magnoliopsida; Poales; Poaceae
Exons: 4
Source: RefSeq, a predicted model, not a curated record
UGGCGGCGGACGGGGCAGCUCCCGUCCCGUGCUUCCAUCGGUGCUCCCGAAACGUUAAAAUCGCAUCGAACGGCUGGGCCAAUUUUUCUUCCCCGUCGUCUAUUUUUUUUGAGGAAACAAUUCGCGGAUCUCCCGUAUUCCGUCCCCUCCCCCCGUAUGUAUUCCCCUUCGUCCCCUUUCUUCCCCUUUCGCUCUCACUUCCGACAGCCGACCGUGGUCCGCGGGGAGCGAAGGCAUCGAGUGAAUCCAGCGACCGCCCUCCGCUCCCGUCGCCGCACUUCCCAGUCCCUCCCCGCCGCUGACUUUGCCACCGCAGCCAAGCAGGCAGCUAUUGCACAAGCUCAAGAUUGAAUCAGAUCGGACCUAGGCCAUGGCCUCGAGCAGGUGUGGCGCCACCCCCGUCGCAGAUGCCGGCCCUCUCCAAUCUCAAGACCACCUCCCCCUCCUGGUUUUGCUCCUCCUGCUUGCUGACAUUGACCCUUCCCUGUUCGAUCCAGUUUGUUUCUUCCUUCUUCUAAUUUGUUGUCUGCUGAUUGGAUUUGUUCUCAGACCAAAUUGAGGCGGCGCUGUGUGUCCAUCACCGACGAGGUAACGGUCGCGGCGGCCGCCGACGCCUAGACCGUGGCGACCGUGGCGGCUGUCGCCGGCUGCGACUUGGCUUUCUGGCAGCGCCUUUGCGCGUGUUCCCUGCUAGUAUAGCAGCAGUAGAAGCUAAGCAGCAACAGAGGCGGACGCGGACGCUGUGCUACUGAUCACUAAAUUGAGGCGGUCGACUAUUCUACAGCUGGAAGACGACAGAUCUCACAGGCCUUGAGCUGACCGUAGUUUUGUGAGACGUACUAAUGAAACUGUUUGGCGUAUGCUAGUACUAUAAGCAUCUCUUUCAUUAAGUAUUGGUGAGAACUCUGCUCACGCCCGCCGAGGUCGCCAUGCUCGACAGCAUGAGGCCAGAAGACGUGGGUCAACAAUGUCAACGCCGGCGUUGUCAGUGAUUAACUACAGUUCUGCUUGUGAGGGAAAAGCAACCGGUUCAACAAGAAGGGCAGGAACAACGAAAAGAGAUCAAGAAGAAUAUGAGUCAGACUUCUUACUUUUCGUCCUUCAGAUUCAUUGUCCUGUUGAUGGUUCCCAUAGUCCGUGCUUGAAGAAGAAGCCAUAGGGGACAAUAGAGCCCCAGUCUGCUUGAUGUUUGCAAAGUUGAUGUUCUCCCUGAAAUUAAUUCAUCACAAUCAGCUGCGAUUGCAAUUUUUCUUCUUCCUGUGAUUUCAGAUACCUCUGUUUUAUGGGAUGGGUGUCCCUGCAUUUUGGCACGCAGAAGUGAGAUUGGCGGUCAUUUUCCCUCCA